RNAcentral lists this transfer RNA (73 nucleotides) under Ovis aries (sheep). It matches the Rfam family "tRNA". Rfam says of the family: Transfer RNA (tRNA) molecules are approximately 80 nucleotides in length. Their secondary structure includes four short double-helical elements and three loops (D, anti-codon, and T loops). The record is from Rfam by way of RNAcentral. Lineage: Eukaryota; Metazoa; Chordata; Mammalia; Artiodactyla; Bovidae.
UCCCUGGUGGCUCAAGAAGGUAAAGCAUCUACCUGCGAUGUGGGAGACCCAGGUUCAAUCCCUGGGUCGGGAA